RNAcentral lists this ribosomal RNA (253 nucleotides) under uncultured bacterium. Its description in RNAcentral is "partial 16S ribosomal RNA". It matches the Rfam family "Bacterial small subunit ribosomal RNA", at positions 524 to 776 of the family's 1533-position model. The record is from RNAcentral.
UACGGGGGGGGCAAGCGUUGUUCGGAAUUACUGGGCGUAAAGGGCUCGUAGGUGGCCAACUAAGUCAGACGUGAAAUCCCUCGGCUUAACCGGGGAACUGCGUCUGAUACUGGAUGGCUUGGAUUUGGGAGAGGGAUGCGGAAUUCCAGGUGUAGCGGUGAAAUGCGUAGAUAUCUGGAGGAACACCGGUGGCGAAGGCGGCAUCCUGGACCAAUAUUGACGCUGAGAAGCGAAAGCAUGGGGAGCGAACAGG